Molecule: small RNA, 299 nt
Filed under: Staphylococcus aureus
Lineage: Bacteria; Bacillati; Bacillota; Bacilli; Caryophanales; Staphylococcaceae
Description: HMPRFS0000_0826
Source: RNAcentral
CUAAAAAUGCAAUGGUAAACGCAAUACGUUUAGGUGAACAAUUCGAUAGUUUGCUACCUGAUAGUGAAGUUCCGGAGCGAACAGAAGGAUACGAAGGCUUUUAUCACUUAAUGAACUUUGAAGGAACUGUUGAAAAAGCAACUUUGCAAUACAUUAUUCGUGAUCAUGAUAAAAAACAAUUCGAAUUGCGUAAGAAACGUAUUUUAGAAAUACGUGACGAUAUCAAUGCCCAUUUUGAAAAUUAUCCAGUUAAAGUUGAUAUAUCGGAUCAAUAUUUCAAUAUGGCAGAAAAAAUAUUA